This is a non-coding RNA of Paramuricea clavata, 85 nucleotides long. The record is from the annotation of a GenBank genome assembly. NCBI's taxonomy places the organism in Eukaryota, Metazoa, Cnidaria, Anthozoa, Malacalcyonacea, Plexauridae.
GACCAUGUUGCUCAGUUGGCAGAGCAUAUUGCCAUUGGGUUAGUAUUCCAAAGGUCGUAGGUUCGAUUUCCAGUGACCAUGGUCA